Molecule: long non-coding RNA, 1415 nt
Filed under: Astyanax mexicanus (Mexican tetra)
Lineage: Eukaryota; Metazoa; Chordata; Actinopteri; Characiformes; Acestrorhamphidae
Description: lncRNA (ENSAMXG00005007268.1)
Source: RNAcentral
GCAAGGUGAAGGUGUUUAAACUGUUUAAGCUGUUGGACAAGUGGCACGAAGACACAAUUGGCAACAAUGGGAAAUUUCUACAGCUAUGUCUACAGCUAUUUCUAUGGCGAGCAAAGUCAAUCAACAGAAGUGACAAAUUUGCAGGAGCAGCCUGCAGAGAGUCCAUCCGAAAACUUAUCUGCAAGUUCUGCAAAUGGGUGCAUUCAGAGUGAAAACAUCUCUGCAGACACACCCUUCUUUCAUAACCACAUUGACGAUGUGGACAAGAGGAACAUUUUUGUGGUCAGUGGUGGAAAAUCUGAAGAAUUUACUGUAUUCCCUGCAGAGAAGAUCUCAGUCUUACUUGAGGAGGCAUGCGCCUGGGCCGGAAAAAAGCCAGAGAAAAUGAAUCUGUUUUUUAAAGGUAAACAAAUAAAAUAUAAGGACCUUUACAUAUCAAUAAAUUCACCAGUUAAGCAGUGCACUACUGUCUAAUGUUAAAUAUUGUCCCUGUUGAACAAAAGAUGUAUCUUCAAAAUGGCAACUAAUGCUAAGAUUGUUUUUGGAACUGAGCCUGGAGGAAGGAAAAAAAUAUCUAGAUUUUAAAAUUGAAGUCAUUGUAAUUUUAGAGCAUUUCUAUUGGAUUGUUUACAUGAAGUUUGACAUGAUAUAGAUUCACAUUUUGUUUAAAAAAAAAAAUAGAUGUUAAGCACAGAUAAACUAUCAUGCAAAAAUCCUGAUACAGUCUGAUACACUUUUGUUAUAAUUAUAUUAUAACAUUUAUUGUUGUUUACCUGCAGGGGAACAGCUGGAUGUGAUGAAAGCCGUGGGUGAGUGUCCCGGCCUACGAAGAGGAAGCAAAGUGCACCUAAUUUUUGCUUCCUAAAGAACUUCACACUUUGUUUUUUUAAUGUACUGAAGUAAAGUGAAGUGCUCUUCAUAGUGGGACAGAAUGCACAGGAGCCUCUCACCCGUGCAAGUCAGCCUUCAGACUCAAUAAUAAGCCCAGUAUGGUGCACAUGUGUACAUUACGCAAUGCUGCUUGUGCUUUAUGUGCUGUCUGUAUUAAAUACCUCUGCUGAUUGGCAGUUGGCAGUUAGAAAUAGAGAAUAUAGGUGAAGUAAUAGAGAGUGAAGGGCAGCACAUAGCAAAUCUCUUAUAAUUAUAAUUUUUAAUUUAGUGAUCAAUCAGAUAUCUGGUUUUCUAGCUAGGUGGGAGUACAUUGUUGACUGACAGGUGGGCAGGAGGCAGUAAAGCUGCUGCGCUCCACUUUAGAGCUCUCAGGGCUUUGGCCUGCACUUGGAUAGCUACUCACUGUCCACUGUCCUUUCUCUCUGUGCUAGCUUCGAUGGGAUCUCUUGAAAUGAGAACUGAGAAAUGUUAUUGUCAUAGUUGUAUGUACAUUACAUUUUAAAUAAUGUUUUAUAAUAAACUUG